RNAcentral lists this long non-coding RNA (286 nucleotides) under Nicotiana benthamiana. RNAcentral describes it as "long non-coding RNA (NBEN_LNC004251)". Lineage: Eukaryota; Viridiplantae; Streptophyta; Magnoliopsida; Solanales; Solanaceae. The record is from RNAcentral.
UAGCAUUGAAGAAUCGUGUUAAUCAGAAGGAAAAUAUAAGAAUUGAGAAAGCCAAUACUAUCGAUAAACCUGUACUACAACAUCUUGAUUCUCACCUAUCAACUUCUUCAUCAUCCCGCCACAUUCAGGCGAAGACUCUAUUUCUUCCUCUCCAUUAUGUCGUUCCCUCUUCUGGGGCCAUCUGACUUGGUAAUUUUUUUUUAAUAUGACUGGCAGUUAACAUGAACAAAAAUUGAAGGGACCAGCUACCACAGUGUAGAUUCGUUAAAAUUAGGGACAAAUCUAA